UAAAAUUAACUCAUUACUUUGAUCAUAUGCUGGUGUAGGUUGCAUAUUUUAAAAUUACAUUUUCCAAAUGGCCCAUCUCAUUUUUCAUACAAAUGAUAUAUUUCAACUCCAUGUGAAUUUUAAGUAGAAAAUUCUGUUGUUCUACAAAUGGAAAGAAAUGGACUCACAUUUCACAGAAUACAUUAAUGAAGAAGGAGGCAGACACACUUUCUCCCAAUGACAUCAAAAGGAAGAUAGAGACAUCGAGCAGAAAACUUUUUUUUAGUAGAAGGAUAUUUGAGUUUUCUUCUAUAAGUUGAUCUCUUGAGAUCAGUUGGGGGAAAAAGAAAACAUUAUUCUUAUGCCCUGUUUCUGGAGUGAGAUGAAGAACAGAAUUUCUUUCCUGAAGAUUUAAUCUGGGUCAGUUUAAACGCUGGCCCAGGCUAGCUCCUUGGGGAGGUUUCUCCUGAAAGCCCCACAAGAGCUCCUUGAGUCCAGAGGUGGGGGAGGAAAAGGGCCCCACUCUAUAAACAGAGCCUCAGGAUGACAAUCCAAUCAGCCCAGAAACUAGCCGGGCCCUCACUUAAAUUUAAUGUCUCUGUGUUUGCACUGAUAGUGCUAACAAGCCAGCCCAGGCCCAUCAGCAUCAGGAAAUUUCUUUUAAUUACACAAUGAGAGCACUGUGCAAACCCCUCCACACUGCAGGUCGGUGCCACAUCACACAGGGACAAGGGGAGGCUCGAGGGUGGAGGCUGCUUUUUGCUGAAGAGCUGAAGAUUAUCUGUGGGAAUUCUUUCAAAGCAGCAGAGGUGAUUAAAAUAUAUUUAGCACUCAUUUCUCUCCUGCUUUCCUCCUUCAUCCUCACAAAUAUCACUGGAAGAGGAACAAUGCAUCAUUAAUAUCCUUGAUCCUCCAUUCCGAAUAAGGGGAGGAAGUCUUCAUUUGCACAAGCUGUAGAGGCAGGGAGAAGGACCCCACACUGAGGUGUCCUAUUCAGGGUCAUGUAAAAAACCAAGCCAGGCAAUCAGCUCCAUCUACUUCAGGCUCUAAAUAGAGUUUUUCUUUUGGGAGCAUGGUAGAGGGGGUUCUCUGAAUUUUAUGAUGCUGGUUUGUUUUUGUUUUGCUUUGAUAGGUUUGCUUUUUUGAAUUUUUUUUCUAUAUCAAUUCUGAUUUGUUAUGUUUUUUAAAAAAAUUUUAAUAAACAUUUGACUGAUCUGAGGUUGUUGAAGUGUGAACUGGGAUAAGAACAAAAAAGCAAUAUGUUAUUUUAGGAAGGUAAGAAAAGAAAAAUUAAGUGGCAGGAUUUUUUUUUAAUUCUAGCAGCCCUCAAGAGUUUGUAUCAAGCUAUAUUGGGGGUUGGUGGGAGAGGAGGGACAGGGAGAGAGAGGAGGGGGAGCAAGAGGAGGGAGAGAGAAUGUUCAUACAUAUCAGAUUUCGGCUAAUGGCUCCCCUGCUAACAGUGGGAAGCAAAAACUUGAAGUAGUCAGUGUAAGGUUUGGAGGUUCAAGCUUCAGUUUUCACAAAAAUGCCAACUUACUCCAAGAAAAGAUUCCUUAGGCCAGAGCAGACAGAGCACCUCUACACUAACAUGAAUAUGAUAUGCUUUGAGGGACCCAAAGGAAAAAGGUCCCACCCUUAGGUCAAACUUUAAAAAUGCCAUAUUCAUAACACAAAAAACUCCAGCCUAUUGGAAUGCUGGCUACAUCACAAUAUCACAGUUUCCAUUUAUUCGAAAUUACCAUUUAUUAGAAAUUAACCAUCCCCCCUAUACACACACACACACACACACACACACCCUGAAAGGGCUUUCCUUGUCUUAAGCCUCUGUGUAUGAAACACUCUGGAACCCACCGGCCUAGGUGUUAGAACAGCACCGAAGUUGCCAGGGCCAGGGGUCCAGCCAUCCUGACCUCUGCUAGCCACCCUGCAAGGGCCGAUGUUCCCACGCAGGAGGCCCCAGGGAGGUGGUACUGAGCAACCGGCCACACCCAAGGAAACAGCUCAGAGCUCAACUUCCUCCUGAAUUAGGCCACACCCGAGGCCUCCCGGGUCUCAUCCACGCCUCUGGGUCCAUCACUAAACAGAAGGCACAAUCCCACUAACUCUUACUCCAUCGCUGCUCAUGAAACUCCUGCCAGUAAGGACUGGGUCAAGCACCUGAAAACCAGAGCUCGUCCGUGGCUUCACUUGUUUUGGACUAAGGAGCUGAGGAGCGUGCAAGACUGUACUUGGAGAAUCUGUUUCUUGCUGCCAUUUCGUCACUGAACACUAUUUUUUUUCUCCUUCUUUUUUUGUAAGAAAAGGAGAACACAUAAAACCCCACCAGAACAAACUCCACUCGGCCCUGAAAGUAUUUACAAUCACGGCCCUGAAAGUACUGAAAGUAUUUACAAUCACGUUACAGUUCAUUCACUGCUGCAGAACCUCUCUCCAGCGAUCAAGGUCGAAGGGAGCCGACGUCGCCCUCUAUCGGCUCCCUGCUGCACUAGAAGGAUCGGGAAGAUGGAGGCUCCUGAAGAGCUGUAGAAGCGCAUCCUAGGCAGAAGCCCAGCAGACAGCAAAGGGCCUGGUUUGUUCAAGGAACUGGAGGGCAAGAAAAUCAGGAGCCAAUUCAUGCAGGGCACAGUUAGCCAAGAUAUUGACUGAGAAUCCUCCAUGUGCCAAGUACUGUUCAAAAACACUGGGAACCCAGCAGGGAUGAGCCACAAGUUUCCUUGUCUUUACGAAGCUUUCAUUCUGAGGGAGUGGAGAGAGACAAGCAAUAAACAACCAAUCAAAACAAAGAUGACUCCUCUGAGUGUUGUGAUAUGCGGGUCAAGGAGGAUGGCUCCCAGGAUGUGACCUCAGAGCAGAAGCCUGGAGGCUUGCCAGCAGCGGGAAGAGCAGCGGCAGGGCACUGCAGGCAGAGGUGACCAAAAGCGUGAAACCUUGAGCUGGGAAGCACGUGGUCUGCUGGAAAGUGGGCUGAUGUAUUUGAAGAGAGCAAGGAGCAGAAUGGUACAAUGGGGUGAUGGGGGAAGAGCCAGGCAGAGCCCAGUGCUGCAAAGCCCGGUAGCACAUACAUGUGUAACGUACCUUGAAGCAAAUGAAUGGCCUGAUCUGGUUUCUGUUUUGGCUGCUCUGUGGUGAUGUGGUGCCUGGGAGGCAAAGAAGCUGGGAAAGAAGCGGUUUUUCUCUUCUAGGUACUUUAAAGCUCUAUAAUAUAUGCUCAGGUGAAAUUUGGCUGGUAUUUUCAGGGACUUCACUGCUUUUGUGCCAUACUGGCCUCAUCAUGUAGAUAACAUCACGGAUUCAUUCCAUCUUAUUAUUCUGUAAGAGUGAUGUCUAAUUUUUUUAAAAAAGAAUCAGCUUUAAAAAAUGCAAAGUCUCAUAGAAAGUAACUCUUUUCUAUUUUAAGCAAGCAUUCAGAAUAUUAGCAGUGCUAAUCAGUACCUCACUAAACAGUUAUGACUGAUUCUAAGUGCAAAGUGGGGAAUGAGAGUAACAGAGAGUAUUUACUGGCUGCUAAAAGCAGGUACAAUGGGGAGCAUGCUAGAGAAACUGUCUCACUGAAUCCUCGGAUGACCCCAUGGUGUAGGUAAUACUGGAGAAACUGAGGCUGCAGUGGCCACAUGACUUGCACAAGGCCACCCAGUAAGAAUGGGAUAGAACAAGAGCCCAUGUCCAUAACCCCUCUCCUACUACGCUAAGGUCAGGGUGGCCCUUUAAGGUGACCAAAGGGUUAGAAAUAACAAACAAGAGUGGAUGAACCUAGGUUUAUUUUGUCUGGAGGAGAGAAAUCUUUGAGAGUGAUUAAUUAAAGCAUAUUCAGGAUAUUUUUUAAAUAAACGGAGAGAGCUGUUCUCCAUCAUCCCUAAUGGUAGAAGAAAAGGCCUUCACCCUCAGCCUGGCAGGUGAAGACAGAGAUAAAGAAUGUGCAGACUGUGGGAUCUUGCUGGGAGGGAGGCAGGACUCACCUACCUAGUCUGUCUCUGAUGCAUUUCUUUGGAAAAUGCAUGUUGACAGUGCUUCUAAAAGUAAUCAUAUGAGCUGCCUGAAAAGGUCAACUUUCAACUCUGGUAAAGAUUGGGAUGCCUUUUCCAGAUUAAUUCCACAUUGGUGUUUGUGGGCAAUGCUGAAACAAAAGAAAAUCCAGGCUAGCCAAAACUUUUCACAUAAAUAGUGACAAAAGCAACCGAGUGGCUGGACAGAUUUGAGACAGGAACAGCCCGAGGACUACAGCAGGGGCUCCCAGUCUGGAGACUCUAACAUAGAUCUCCAGAUGACCCCAAUGACUGGGAAUUGCUUUUACUCUGGACAGCCUGCUGGGCGGCCCCAGUUGACUGUCCCGGGUAUGUCCCGGGUCGCUAACCACUUUGACUGCCCCUGAGCCACAGAGUCAGGCAGGAGUCAGGGACACGUAGGUACUCUCUUCUCCCUGCCCCUCACCUUCCUUCAGGGCCACCUCGGCCACAAAGGCUGGCUCCACAUCAGUCAGCUACUCAGACAUGCUCUCGCCUCACCUCCU
This 4486-nucleotide long non-coding RNA is filed under the name Homo sapiens (human). RNAcentral describes it as "HSALNT0306460". Lineage: Eukaryota; Metazoa; Chordata; Mammalia; Primates; Hominidae. The record is from RNAcentral.